RNAcentral lists this ribosomal RNA (536 nucleotides) under uncultured Bacillota bacterium. Its description in RNAcentral is "bacterial SSU rRNA". It matches the Rfam family "Bacterial small subunit ribosomal RNA", at positions 354 to 904 of the family's 1533-position model. Lineage: Bacteria; Bacillati; Bacillota. The record is from RNAcentral.
GUGGGGAAUUUUCCGCAAUGGGCGCAAGCCUGACGGAGCAACGCCGCGUGGGUGACGAAGGAUUUCGGUCUGUAAAGCCCUUUCAGUCGGGACGAGUCGCAGACGGUACCGACAGAAGAAGCAUCGGCUAACUACGUGCCAGCAGCCGCGGUAAGACGUAGGAUGCGAGCGUUGUCCGGAAUUAUUGGGCGUAAAGCGUACGUAGGCGGUCAUCUAAGUCUGGGGUUAAAGACCAAGGCUCAACCUUGGGAGUGCCCUGGAUACUGGGUGACUGGAGGACGGCAGAGGAAAGUGGAAUUCCCAGUGUAGCGGUGAAAUGCGUAGAUAUUGGGAGGAACACCAGUGGCGAAAGCGACUUUCUGGGCCGUUCCUGACGCUGAGGUACGAAAGCCAGGGGAGCAAACGGGAUUAGAUACCCCGGUAGUCCUGGCCGUAAACGAUGGAUACUAGGUGUCAUCGGUAUCAACCCCGGUGGUGCCGUAGCUAACGCGUUAAGUAUCCCGCCUGGGGAGUACGGUCGCAAGGCUGAAACUCAA